This 61-nucleotide transfer RNA is filed under the name Stygobromus pizzinii. Its description in RNAcentral is "tRNA-Ile". The record is from RNAcentral. Lineage: Eukaryota; Metazoa; Arthropoda; Malacostraca; Amphipoda; Crangonyctidae.
AAUAAUAUGCCUGAAUUAAAGGAUCACUUUGAUAUAGUGGGUCAUGCGGUAGCUAUUAUUA